Molecule: ribosomal RNA, 499 nt
Filed under: uncultured bacterium
Lineage: Bacteria
Description: bacterial SSU rRNA
Rfam family: Bacterial small subunit ribosomal RNA
Source: RNAcentral
GUUUGAUCCUGGCUCAGAUUGAACGCUGGCGGCAUGCCUUACACAUGGCAAGUCGACGGCAGCGGGCCUUCGGGUGCCGGCGAGUGGCGAACGGGUGAGUAAUGCAUCGGAACGUGCCAUUGAGUGGGGGAUAACGUAGCGAAAGUUACGCUAAUACCGCAUAUUCUGUGAGCAGGAAAGCAGGGGACCGCAAGGCCUUGCGCUCUUUGAGCGGCCGAUGUCAGAUUAGCUAGUUGGUGAGGUAAAGGCUUACCAAGGCGACGAUCUGUAGCGGGUCUGAGAGGAUGAUCCGCCACACUGGAACUGAGACACGGUCCAGACUCCUACGGGAGGCAGCAGUGGGGAAUUUUGGACAAUGGGCGCAAGCCUGAUCCAGCCAUGCCGCGUGAGUGAAGAAGGCCUUCGGGUUGUAAAGCUCUUUCGGCCGGGAAGAAAUCGCAUGGGUUAAUACCCUGUGUGGAUGACGGUACCGGAAUAAGAAGCACCGGCUAACUACGUG